This 253-nucleotide ribosomal RNA is filed under the name uncultured bacterium. RNAcentral describes it as "partial 16S ribosomal RNA". It matches the Rfam family "Bacterial small subunit ribosomal RNA", at positions 524 to 776 of the family's 1533-position model. The record is from RNAcentral.
UACCGAGGUCCCAAGCGUUGUUCGGAUUCACUGGGCGUAAAGGGUGCGUAGGCGGUCGGGUAAGUCUGAUGUGAAAUCUCACAGCUUAACUGUGAAACUGCAUUGGAUACUAUCCGGCUCGAGGAAUGGAGGGGAGACUGGAAUACUUGGUGUAGCAGUGAAAUGCGUAGAUAUCAAGUGGAACACCAGUGGCGAAGGCGAGUCUCUGGACAUUUCCUGACGCUGAGGCACGAAAGCGAGGGGAGCAAACGGG